Molecule: long non-coding RNA, 1645 nt
Filed under: Olea europaea (common olive)
Lineage: Eukaryota; Viridiplantae; Streptophyta; Magnoliopsida; Lamiales; Oleaceae
Description: long non-coding RNA (OEUR_LNC000622)
Source: RNAcentral
GAAAGAUUGAAUCAGCCACAGUUCUAUAUAGCAUUGAAAGAGCAUUUGCAUCUCUUUGUCUACAUUUUUCGAGUUCCUUCUUCUUGACAUCUGAUAAGCCUUCUUCAUUUUCAGGUUCAUCAAAGCCAUUUUCGACCAUGUCCUGUAGAUCCAUUAGUAGAAAUGAAGUCUUCAUCCUCACACCCAAAGUCAAAAAUUUGCCAUCUUCUUCUUUAAACCCUUGCUACCAAAUCUCAACUGCAAAUGCACGAAUAGAACCUGGAGCACUUUGAUACCAAAUAUAUGUUGGCUGAGACUGCAACUUCGAGUAUUACAACGCUAGUUUCACGCAUAUGAAACUAGGCAAAAUUUGUACUGCAUAGAUUUCACUUGUAUGAAACUGGUGUAAUAUAGUUACUGCUAAAUGAAACAGAAAAAUAUGGAGAAGGAUUAAAACAAAAGAAAAACAGAGACAAAAAUGAGGAAAAAUGAGAAUGGAAAAGAAACAAAAACUUUCUUUUCUUCUAAGUUUUCUUACACUUACAUCUUAAACGAUUAGUGCAUAUUUUGCUACAUUUAACAUUUUUCUUUGACAUAUAUGGACUCUAAUAUGCAUUACAAAAUCAUAUUUUUAGCCCGUAUUUGUUUGACACUUUUCUUUGACUUUUCUACCAAAAAACACAUUAUAAAUCACAUAAUAACAAUAUUUAAUAACAUGUUUUUGGUUGUUCAUUUUUGGGUCUUCCAUGUGUAUGAUCAGUUUGUCAAGAUGUAGAGCUAAUGAAUGCUGUAAGUUUUGGUUUCGGCUUCUCUUUUAUGGGGUAAAAGAAAAUUUUUUUGGUUGUUAAAUUUCUUUAAGUUCAAGAAAGCCUGCUACAUGCUUGCUCACAACAAGGAUUAAUUAGAUUAUAAUUAAGAAAUUCCUUAUAAGAAAUUAAGGAAUUAAUCAGUUUUCUCGUUGAGGUCAAAGCCCUUUUGAUCUUCCACCAAGAAACUGGUAUGUUUCCUAUAACAGCUAGAGUGGUUACAGAACCAGAAAAAUAGCUUUCUUUCUGGUAAAAUUUUGAGGGAAAAAAGGGCUUAUUUCUUUUGUUUGAAGUGACUUCAUUAUUCAAAUGGGCGUUUGUUGUUUAGACAUGUUAUAUCAAGGUGCAUAGCAUUAGCAUUGUUGAAAAAAAACUGUUUUGAAGGCAAACAAAAAGUUGCAGAAUUGGCCCUCAACGAUGAAAAUUUCCAAAACUUCUGUUAAAUUGCCAUGUAGCAUUAAUAUGCUUAACAUUAUUGACACGCCCAGCUCAAAUUAACACUAGUGGAUCGGAAAAGUGACGUGCACCAAUGAUAGAUACCAACCCAAAGUCGGGCCCAACAUCAAGGCUAUUACAAUAUGGACCGUUUUAUAAUUUGGUUUUAAUAGAAUUUUAGCAUUAUUUCCCCUAUAAAUAAACUAACCGACCUGUAAUUCAUCAUGUACAAAUUUCAAAAAUAACAACACAAUAGAGAUAAGCCGAAAUCUCAACUUUUACAAUGAAAGCAAAAUAAAACAUAUAUAUGAAUGCAAAAUACCUUGUGAGCCCCAUAACUAUCUACAAUUGAUGCAAAAUCACAUCAUGAACAUUUGUCCCAAAACUCUAACUACAUGCUCUAUAAAAUGAAUCAUAUUGGCAAG